This 1053-nucleotide ribosomal RNA is filed under the name Salmonella enterica. Its description in RNAcentral is "bacterial SSU rRNA". It matches the Rfam family "Bacterial small subunit ribosomal RNA", at positions 1 to 1043 of the family's 1533-position model. Lineage: Bacteria; Pseudomonadati; Pseudomonadota; Gammaproteobacteria; Enterobacterales; Enterobacteriaceae. The record is from RNAcentral.
AAAUUGAAGAGUUUGAUCAUGGCUCAGAUUGAACGCUGGCGGCAGGCCUAACACAUGCAAGUCGAACGGUAACAGGAAGCAGCUUGCUGCUUUGCUGACGAGUGGCGGACGGGUGAGUAAUGUCUGGGAAACUGCCUGAUGGAGGGGGAUAACUACUGGAAACGGUGGCUAAUACCGCAUAACGUCGCAAGACCAAAGAGGGGGACCUUCGGGCCUCUUGCCAUCAGAUGUGCCCAGAUGGGAUUAGCUUGUUGGUGAGGUAACGGCUCACCAAGGCGACGAUCCCUAGCUGGUCUGAGAGGAUGACCAGCCACACUGGAACUGAGACACGGUCCAGACUCCUACGGGAGGCAGCAGUGGGGAAUAUUGCACAAUGGGCGCAAGCCUGAUGCAGCCAUGCCGCGUGUAUGAAGAAGGCCUUCGGGUUGUAAAGUACUUUCAGCGGGGAGGAAGGUGUUGUGGUUAAUAACCGCAGCAAUUGACGUUACCCGCAGAAGAAGCACCGGCUAACUCCGUGCCAGCAGCCGCGGUAAUACGGAGGGUGCAAGCGUUAAUCGGAAUUACUGGGCGUAAAGCGCACGCAGGCGGUCUGUCAAGUCGGAUGUGAAAUCCCCGGGCUCAACCUGGGAACUGCAUUCGAAACUGGCAGGCUUGAGUCUUGUAGAGGGGGGUAGAAUUCCAGGUGUAGCGGUGAAAUGCGUAGAGAUCUGGAGGAAUACCGGUGGCGAAGGCGGCCCCCUGGACAAAGACUGACGCUCAGGUGCGAAAGCGUGGGGAGCAAACAGGAUUAGAUACCCUGGUAGUCCACGCCGUAAACGAUGUCUACUUGGAGGUUGUGCCCUUGAGGCGUGGCUUCCGGAGCUAACGCGUUAAGUAGACCGCCUGGGGAGUACGGCCGCAAGGUUAAAACUCAAAUGAAUUGACGGGGGCCCGCACAAGCGGUGGAGCAUGUGGUUUAAUUCGAUGCAACGCGAAGAACCUUACCUGGUCUUGACAUCCACGGAAGUUUUCAGAGAUGAGAAUGUGCCUUCGGGAACCGUGAGACAGGUGCUG